RNAcentral lists this transfer RNA (127 nucleotides) under Actinomycetota bacterium. Its description in RNAcentral is "Actinobacteria bacterium tRNA-Arg". The record is from RNAcentral. Lineage: Bacteria; Bacillati; Actinomycetota.
GCCGUUCAUAUCCGCAGGUCAAGGACACUUUUCCGUCAUCAUCAUCAAAUGUCAAUAUCGCUCAAAAACCACUUCGGACGCUCUCCUAAAGCGGUUGUCGUGCGUUCGAAUCGCACCGGGGGCGCCA